UACGAAGGGGGCUAGCGUUGCUCGGAAUCACCGGGCGUAAAGCGCACGUAGGCGGCUUUUUAAGUCAGAGGUGAAAUCCUGGAGCUCAACUCCAGAACUGCCUUUGAUACUGAAGAUCUUGAGUUCGGGAGAGGUGAGUGGAACUGCGAGUGUAGAGGUGAAAUUCGUAGAUAUUCGCAAGAACACCAGUGGCGAAGGCGGCUCACUGGCCCGAUACUGACGCUGAGGCACGAAAGCGUGGGGAGCAAACAGG
RNAcentral lists this ribosomal RNA (253 nucleotides) under uncultured bacterium. RNAcentral's name for it is "partial 16S ribosomal RNA". It matches the Rfam family "Bacterial small subunit ribosomal RNA", at positions 524 to 776 of the family's 1533-position model. The record is from RNAcentral.